UACGUAGGUGACAAGCGUUGUCCGGAUUUACUGCGUAAAGAGCGCGCAGGCGGUCGUUCAAGUCGAGUGUGAAAGCCCCCGGCUCAACUGGGGAGGGUCAUUCGAUACUGAUCGACUCGAAGGCAGGAGAGGGAAGUGGAAUUCCCGGUGUAGUGGUGAAAUGCGUAGAUAUCGGGGGGAACACCAGUGGCGAAGGCGACUUCCUGGCCUGUUCUUGACGCUGAGGCGCGAAAGCUAGGGGAGCAAACGGG
This 251-nucleotide ribosomal RNA is filed under the name uncultured bacterium. RNAcentral's name for it is "partial 16S ribosomal RNA". It matches the Rfam family "Bacterial small subunit ribosomal RNA", at positions 524 to 776 of the family's 1533-position model. The record is from RNAcentral.